UAGGGAAUCUUCCGCAAUGGGCGAAAGCCUGACGGAGCAACGCCGCGUGAGUGAUGAAGGUCUUCGGAUCGUAAAACUCUGUUAUUAGGGAAGAACAAAGGUGUAAGUAACUAUGCACGUCUUGACGGUACCUAAUCGGAAAGCCACGGCUAACUACGUGCCAGCAGCCGCGGUAAUACGAAGGUGGCAAGCGUUAUCCGGAAUUAUUGGGCGUAAAGCGCGCGUAGGCGGUUUUUUAAGUCUGAUGUGAAAGCCAACGGCUCAACCGUGGAGGGUCAUUGGAAACUGGAAAACUUGAGUGCAGAAGAGGAAAGUGGAAUUCCAUGUGUAGCGGUGAAAUGCGCAGAGAUAUGGAGGAACACCAGUGGCGAAGGCGACUUUCUGGUCUGUAACUGACGCUGAUGUGCGAAAGCGUGGGGAUCAAACAGG
This 429-nucleotide ribosomal RNA is filed under the name Actinomycetes bacterium. RNAcentral's name for it is "Actinobacteria bacterium partial 16S ribosomal RNA". It matches the Rfam family "Bacterial small subunit ribosomal RNA", at positions 355 to 776 of the family's 1533-position model. Lineage: Bacteria; Bacillati; Actinomycetota; Actinomycetes. The record is from RNAcentral.